GCGAGGUAGCUCAGUGGUAGAGCUUCGGAAUCAUAAUCCGCUGGUCGGGGGUUCGAUCCCCUCCCUCGCC
This 70-nucleotide transfer RNA is filed under the name bovine gut metagenome. It matches the Rfam family "tRNA". From Rfam's summary of the family: Transfer RNA (tRNA) molecules are approximately 80 nucleotides in length. Their secondary structure includes four short double-helical elements and three loops (D, anti-codon, and T loops). Further hydrogen bonds mediate the characteristic L-shaped molecular structure. tRNAs have two regions of fundamental functional importance: the anti-codon, which is responsible for specific mRNA codon recognition, and the 3' end, to which the tRNAs corresponding amino acid is attached (by aminoacyl-tRNA synthetases). tRNAs cope with the degeneracy of the genetic code in two manners: having more than one tRNA (with a specific anti-codon) for a particular amino acid; and 'wobble' base-pairing, i.e. permitting non-standard base-pairing at the 3rd anti-codon position. The record is from RNAcentral.